Molecule: long non-coding RNA, 687 nt
Filed under: Sorghum bicolor (sorghum)
Lineage: Eukaryota; Viridiplantae; Streptophyta; Magnoliopsida; Poales; Poaceae
Description: long non-coding RNA (SBIC_LNC006172)
Source: RNAcentral
UGCCAAGUGUCGGGCUUUGCCGAGUGUCCGGCCGUCACCUACGGCCAUCUUUGCCAAGUGUCAGGCUUUGCCGAGUGUCUAGCUUUCGGUACAGAGAAUCUUUGCCGAGUGCCGUUCUGUGCCAAAUGCUCGGCACUCGGCAAAGUACCCUUUGUCGAGUGUUUUUCUUUGCCAAGGGCGACACUCGGCAAAGAGAAGCUUUGCCGAGUGCCGGACGUUUGGCACUCGGCAAAGCCUGUGAGACCUAGCCGGCUUUGUGAUCGACCAGGCCGGUUCGAUGGAGCCGAGUCCGUUCCUUGACAUCUUUAAUAGUAGGAGACUUAUUUCACAUGUAAUUUGUAUGUUUCCCACAAGAUCGUACGACUUUCCAACAACAAAAUCAUGAUUUGGCCUCAGACUGUGAAAAUUGGAUUAACUAGUUUUCAAAAUUGGUUUAGCCUACUAUACUUUGGGUGGGCGAAAACUUCCCAAGAAUGUAAUUUCUUCAUCCAAACACAAAUUUAGAUGAUCUAUGUUUCUUGAUCGUCUGAAUGAGAGGAACACAAUGGUGAAGUUUAUUAUUCAUUUCGAGGAAGUGUACAAAACUAGCUAAGCCUUUUUCUGAAGCUGCCUUUUCUUCAUCUAGACCCCAAACAGGAUGACCUAUUUAUGCUUUUCGAUCGUCUUGACGAGAGGAUGCAAUGGUGG